UACCUAGACUAGGUGACCUUGCAGGGCCCUAUAUAACGCUAGGCUCUUCCGUGGAUCAGCAUAGUUGCACUCAGAAGGCUUAGAGCAGUUCUAGUGAGAUCUACAACCAACCAAUCGCCAAUAUGAAAUUCACCAUGUUCGUCCUCCUCUGCUGUGUGGUGGCGUUCGCCUCGGCCGCACCCCAGUUCUUCUACGGCGGAUGGGGAGGUCUGGCUCCCGUCUCCAGGACCGUGGUGGCCGGCCCUACCGUGGUCAACGGUGCCACUGGUGUGCCCGGCCUCAUCGCCCCAGGAUACAUCGGCACCACCUUCAUCUAAACACCCCACCACCAUACAAUCGCCAUACAAUCCGCUCAACAUUGGACUCAGAUCAAAUUCCUGUAAAUAUACAUUUAUAGUUUAUUUUUCAUCAUACUAUGUCUCGUGUAUAAAUAUAAAAUUAUGACACA
This is a long non-coding RNA of Pectinophora gossypiella (pink bollworm), 448 nucleotides long. RefSeq lists it as uncharacterized. The transcript has 3 exons. Lineage: Eukaryota; Metazoa; Arthropoda; Insecta; Lepidoptera; Gelechiidae. The record is from RefSeq and is a predicted model, not a curated record.